Molecule: long non-coding RNA, 376 nt
Organism: Lemur catta (Ring-tailed lemur)
Lineage: Eukaryota; Metazoa; Chordata; Mammalia; Primates; Lemuridae
Exons: 4
Source: RefSeq, a predicted model, not a curated record
UAUCGCUGGAGGUAGAGGUAGGACAAUGAGCUUUAUUGGACUGAAUAGAUAAGGUUUGAACUUUUGCCGGGAGUGUUCCUCCAAAACUAUCAUUGGAGAAAAUGUCUACACAUACAGACCCACAGACCAGGGCUCUAAUACGGCACAGGGCAGCAGUGCACAGACCUUGCUACUACAUGGAACACAUCUGCAACGUGGAAGGCCUUGGGAGCUGCUUUUUCCUCAAGAGGGUGAUGGUGCUAUGAAGCAGAGGGUCUUGUAAGCUGGGCAGAAGAAUAUCCUUAUCUUUGGGAAGGGUCUCUUUCUGCAGUUCUUUAGCAGGCCUCUUUCAAGACAGCAGGGAGAAGGCUCGCUGGCUCCAGGUACUACGAGAAAC